UACUUGAUGAAUAAGCCACGGCUAUUCGUGCCAGCAGCGCGUAUACGGGAGUGGCAAGCGUUAUCGGAAUUAUUGGGCGUAAAGCGUCGCAGGCGGCCCAGAAAGUCUGCUGUUAAAACGUGGAGCUUAACUCCAUCAUGGCAGUGGAAACUGUUGGGCUUGAGUGUGGUAGGGGCAGAGGGAAUUCCCGGUGUAGCGGUGAAAUGCGUAGAUAUCGGGAAGAACACCAGUGGCGAAGGCGCUCUGCUGGGCCAUAACUGACGCUCAUGGACGAAAGCCAGGGGAGCGAAAGGGAUUAGAUACCCCUGUAGUCCUGGCCGUAAACGAUGAACACUAGGUGUCGGGGGAAUCGACCCCCUCGGUGUCGUAGCCAACGCGUUAAGUGUUCCGCCUGGGGAGUACGCACGCAAAUGUGAAACUCAAAGGAAUUGACGGGGGCCCGCACAAGCGGUGGAGUAUGUGGUUUAAUUCGAUGCAACGCGAAGAACCUUACCAGGGUUUGACAUCCUGCGAACCUCUUGGAAACGAGAGGGUGCCUUCGGGAACGCAGUGACAGGUGGUGCAUGGCUGUCGUCAGCUCGUGUCGUGAGAUGUUGGGUUAAGUCCCGCAACGAGCGCAACCCACGUCUUUAGUUGCCAGCAUUUAGUUGGGCACUCUAGAGAGACCGCCGGUGAUAGACCGGAGGAAGGUGUGGAUGACGUCAAGUCAUCAUGCCCCUUACAUCCUGGGCUACACACGUACUACAAUGCUACGGACAAAGGGCAGCAAGUUCGCGAGGACAAGCAAAUCCCAUAAACCGUGGCUCAGUUCAGAUCGUAGGCUGCAACUCGCCUACGUGAAGGAGGAAUCGCUAGUAAUCGCAGGUCAGCAUACUGCGGUGAAUACGUUCCCGGGCCUUGUACACACCGCCCGUCACACCAUGGAAGUUGGCCACGCCCGAAGCCGUUACUCCAACCCUUGUGGAGGAG
Molecule: ribosomal RNA, 969 nt
Filed under: uncultured bacterium
Lineage: Bacteria
Description: bacterial SSU rRNA
Rfam family: Bacterial small subunit ribosomal RNA
Source: RNAcentral